CGGCGAGCAUUGUAGCAGUUACAGCCCCGCUCCUGUGCCAGGGAAGUCCACUACGGGCUCACCAUAGCCCGUGCUACUUUGGAACUUUUGUUCUAAGUAGCUGAAUCUAAAACAACGAGCAUUGUAGGGGAUUGAAACGAGAGCAGCAGCCGCCGCGGACGGACUUACACCUCUACUCCAGCCAAGAUACUUUACCAUAGGAUAAAAGCUGAGGCCCCGUUAGUCUCGUAAGCAGCACUGACCGUCGUGGGUGGCGGUGAAUCAGCACAGGAAGAAGCUGAACAAAUCUACAAGGGCCGUGACGAGGAUUCGAACCUGCGUCCGGGAGCAUCCCAGACGCAGGUUGAGAAGCUGCUGCUGCUCUACUGAACUGUUUAAAUAAAUGGCCAGCACCUGGAGACCUCUGCGUUGCUUGUAGCUGCUACUGCUAAGUCAACGAAACACGAACUACACUGACGUCUGCUUCACGUUUUCACCAUGAUCGAGCGUCGAGCAUCGCCUGCGGACGGGUACACAAGCCCACGACGAGACACUCAUCAACAUCACAAAAAUCCCCCAAAAGUUCUGCAGGGACCAAACCUUUCUGAAUGAUCUGGAGGGCAAACAACUCUUUAAUGGACUGGCCUAAUGCUGCCUGUUCUCUCCGCUGGCAGACGCGCGGCAUUCAGACGAGUCUGCAAUAUCAGCACAUUGAUGCCCUGCAACACCUUACGAACUCGGGCCUGCACGUGUUAACGUCCGUAGAAGACCAUCAUAUGGACACAUGCUUCUCUGGACAUGGAAGACCUGCCUGUUGACCAUGAUACCUAUAUCAUGUUCUCUUCUCGCCUGCUAUCCCCAUUUCAAGCCACGUAGAGUUCACGGUCUCAUCACGUGGUGGGACACGUGCCUCUUAAAGUGUCUGCAAACAGCCUCCAGUGAAUCAGAGGUCAUCUCCUUACAGGGGCAAACUGUAACCUAUUUGAAAUGUACAUGAAAUUCUUUCGUGUUUACUAUCCUUUUUAUGGUAUCUUGGGUCAUGAGGCUACCUAUGUCAAAUCAUAUACAAUGCACUUUUUUUUAACACUAUCUUUUAUGUUAAUUAGAUGGAAUUCUUUGGGUGUACGCCCGUGUGUGGAGGGGGGGGGGGGGAGAGACCUAACAUCCCCCCCCUCU
Non-coding RNA from Procambarus clarkii (red swamp crayfish), 1155 nucleotides. The record is from RefSeq and is a predicted model, not a curated record. Lineage: Eukaryota; Metazoa; Arthropoda; Malacostraca; Decapoda; Cambaridae.